UGUGCCAGGAAACGUGCUAAUUGCCAGGUGUGACACGUUAACCUCCUCUGGAGGAAGUGUGUGAGAAGCAGUUCAGCUGCUGGCUGAAGUGAAGUCACAGCCCUAGUAUGUGUAGGUGCUGUAUUACCAUUUGCAGAAGAAAGGAACCUGAUGCAAUCUUCAAGGUGCAGCAUGGCAAAGCUUUGUGAGAUGCUUUUUUCUGUGCUUUGCUUAAAAUGGUGGAAAACAAGUACUUGUUCAAGAAACAUUGGUGAUGCUUCUUACUGGAAUUGCUGAUGGAGUUAAGGCCUCAUCUUGCAAUAAAUGCUAUACAAAAUCCAUCAAGUGAAGCACAAGUAUAGCUUUGCUAUGCUAUUACAGAGCAAGUACUUUCAAAAGCAUCCAUUGGAGGACACUAGCACCCAACAAAUUACAGAUCAACGCAUACAAUGUUAUCUAAUGACUAUAAAUAGUCUUUUAUGGUUGAGCAGAGCAAGGAACUCACAAGAAGAUCCUCCAAGGGUAGCAGGUGCUGCUUGUGUGAGGGUUGCUGAUUGUGCAUUGCUCAGUGUUCUCAUCUGUUAUGAACAUUUGUCAUCUGCUGCUAUGAUCUCCAUCUUCCAGCUUAGUUAGUACGUACUGCUAAGCCCGCCGCUUCUGGAGAUGAAAAUGGCUUCUGGAGUGUUGUUGUCUUGUUAGUACAGCAAAGAAGGUCUAUGGGGAAGGUUACUGCAUGUGAGUGGCAUCAACCGGAACAGCCCCUCCAGGCUUGUGGGAUAUUGCUGACCUGCACUCUACACUCGUGCUAUUUGGGGUGAUCUGCCUGCUGGGAGAUAUGUGGACUAGUGAACUGGAUAAAUCAGCAUGUAAUUCUGUAGAUGAAAAAGGUUUCAGAUCUGCCUCCAAAAUUCCAGCUGCUCCUUCAGUUAAUCUCACUUCCCUUGCUGAUCCUGCCAGGAUACCUCAGGACAGUCCAAGGAUGUGCACAGGCAACUAUCUGAAUAAAGGAAAGAAGGAAUGUCUUUAUUUUGACUAUACUGGCUGAAGCUCUGUAGUAAAGGAGCAAUAAGGUUGGAAAUUGCAUAAUUCAUCAAUUUGGAAAUGCUUGUGUAGCCCAGUUCUGUUCUAUUUGUCUGCAUCACGAUA
Molecule: long non-coding RNA, 1125 nt
Filed under: Gallus gallus (chicken)
Lineage: Eukaryota; Metazoa; Chordata; Aves; Galliformes; Phasianidae
Description: lncRNA (ENSGALG00010002938.1)
Source: RNAcentral